This 195-nucleotide ribosomal RNA is filed under the name uncultured bacterium. Its description in RNAcentral is "partial 16S ribosomal RNA". It matches the Rfam family "Bacterial small subunit ribosomal RNA", at positions 328 to 540 of the family's 1533-position model. The record is from RNAcentral.
ACGCUCGACACCUACGGAGGCAGCAGUCGGGAAUAUUGCGCAAUGGAGGAAACUCUGACGCAGUGACGCCGCGUAUAGGAAGAAGGUUUUCGGAUUGUAAACUAUUGUCGUUAGGGAAGAAAAAAGACAGUACCUAAGGAGGAAGCUCCGGCUAACUACGUGCGANCNCGCCGAGUAUGNGCGGCGGNGNGAGAG